AAUAUUAAAUUGCAAACGUCGGGUGUUUAGAAAUUUCCCAGAAAUUCAAAGCUCUUUCAACGGCCUUAGACAUAACUGAAAGCUAAGGGAGCCAAUUCUCAAGAUCUAAAUUACAGAAUUGAGAAAUGUUAAAUUUACCACAUAUUGCAAUUCUUGGAGCAGGAAUCUUCGUAAGAACACAGUACAUUCCAAGAUUAGCCGAGAUCUCCGAUCUCUUCGUCCUUAAGUAUAUCUGGAGCCGCACUGAGGAAUCAGCACAAGGAGCAGUGGAGAUAGCGCGCAAGCAUUUUCCAGGAGUAGAAUGCAAGUGGGGAGAUAAAGGUCUUGAUGAGAUUAUUGCAGAUGAUUCCAUUCUUGGCGUUGCUGUUGUUCUUGCUGCCCAAACUCAGGUUAAUAUGUCACUUAAGCUACUAAAGGCGGGGAAGCAUGUUCUUCAAGAGAAACCAGCAGCUGCUUUUGUAAGUGAAAUUGAAACUGCACUGUCAAGUUACAACUCUAUCUGUGCCCAUUCCCCUGGUCGACCAAUUUGGGCUGUGGCGGAGAAUUAUAGAUUUGAACCUGCUUUUGUAGAGUCUAAGAAACUAUUGGCUGAAAUUGGGGACAUGAUGUCAAUUCAAGUUAUUGUUGAAGGAUCAAUGAAUAGUUCAAACCCUUAUUUCUCUAGUUCAUGGAGGCGCGACUUUGCUGGGGGUUUUAUUCUAGAUAUGGGAGUGCAUUUCAUUGCAGGCUUAAGAAUGCUUGUUGGAUGUGAAGUGAUUUCAGUGUCAGCUAUGACAUCUCAUGUAGACAAAACUUUACCCCCUCCUGAUAACAUAUCCUCAGUUUUUCAAUUGGAGAACGGAUGUUCUGGAAUUUUUGUAAUGGUCGUAUCCUCAAGAUCACCAAAGAUAUGCUGGCGAGUUGUUGGCUUAAAGGGAACACUGCAAAUUGAGCGGGGAAACCUUAAUGGACAACAUGGUUAUAUGGUAUUGCUUUAUGGUGCUGAUGGGCAAAGCAAAAGCUCUUUCUACCCAUUCAGUGGAGUGACAGAAGAAUUGAAAACUUUCAUACACGACAUUUCGCAAGCCAAACUUAAGAAGGGGAGCAGCUAUGAAACAGAUCCCCGCCUUAGUUUUGAGGAAGGUGCCAGAGAUGUUGCUAUUCUUGACGCAAUGCUUGAAUCCGGAACCAAAAAUGGGAGCCUAGUUCAGGUGAAAAAAAUCUAGCGUAAGGACAUGAAAAGUUAAGUUUUUUUUCCCUUUUAUUUUUCUCUCUUAUCAUGAGAAAUUAUAAUUUAGAAGAUCAUCAGCUCGUUUUUAUCCUUUCUAUCUAUUCUUCUUCUAUACUUGAUGUUUGAGGAGAGGAUAAUUUUAAGAAAGUGAUUGGUGAAUAUUAAAUAAAUAAGAAAAAGAAGAGUGUUUUAAGUUUUUUUUUUAAAUGAAAAUAGAUUAAAAUUGAUAAUGUUUUCAUUUCAUUAACUUUCUCUAGGAGGUUAAAAUAACCAAUGGUGGAGAAACAAAGGAUUACUAUAGGAACUUGAUAAAGAUGGUGUUUUAAAGAGAAAAAACAUAUAGUUUUAAUUGUUUUAUUAACAUAUAUUGAACGAUAAUUUCAAUAGGUUAUGAGGUUGCUUUCUAGAGACAAUGACAUGGUAAUAAAAUUGUGGCAUACGGGACCAUGUCCAUGACCAAACAGGCAUUGCAGACUUGCAGUAUUAAAUUUUGACUUGGAAAAUUUAUUAUUGGUAUUCCACAAAUGCACAAGUGCAAGUUGCUAUAUAUGUGAAGAUUUCUAUUGGUUGCAAUAAAUUAUAUAUACUCAUAAAUUUUAUUAUUCAUAUAAUUAUCUAUAUAUUUAUAUAUACAGAUUUUUAUAUAAAGGAUUAAAAUUAUGUCUAGAAUUUUAGUUAGAUUAAGUGCAAUGUAAAGUCUGUUUGAAGAACUUGUCGAAUUCUCAUCACGGGAAGUACCACAACCAUGGUGAAGAAAGAAACUUUAUUCAUCUAUCAUCUCAAGCAUGGCAUAAAGCCGUGAUGAAGUGAAGGUCACCAUGGCCAUGGUAGAAACCGUGAUGAGAACAAGACCACCAUGGGUGUGGUGCAACCUGUGGUGAGGGAUGAUAAAGUUAUUUCGUUGUGCGGAGUUCAAUCUCUUAUAAACAUCCAUACUUUGUAGCUUUAAGAUUUAAUUAAGAGUACACGAGGAAGAAGAAUUAUACUUUGGUAUUUUUUUAUUGAGAUUAUAAAUCAAUUUGGCUGAUUAAUAUUUUUCAAUAUUAGAGUGAAUCUAUAUCACUUUCCUGUAAUCUAGUUUGAUAUUUUAAUGAACUACUCAUUUCUCUAUCCAUGGAUGUAGAUAAUUUGCUGAAACACAAAAAUCUUUUAAUUUUUUUUAUUAAUUUUGCUAUGUUAUCAUAUAUUUAUACUUGUUUAAUUAAUUAUUGCUUGAUUCCAUUGCGUUUAAUUUCACAACAUAAAAAAUUAUGCUGUUGCGAGAUAACGAUUAAAACAUUUUGUUGUUAAUUUUUCUGAUUAUGUUUUGCUGUAAAUAAUUUAUCCAUGCAAUAUAUAGUUGGACUGUAGGGCUGUGGGAGAUGAAAAGCUAUAUAAUCCAUAGAAAAAAGUAGGUAAAGUAGAGUAACUGAUUCAAAACCAACUGCACCUAACGCCAAUUCUCUCCCAUUAUAUUUCUCAACUGCUGAAUGGAAGACGUUUCAUUUACUACAUGUUAUUGUCAAAAUAAUCAACCAAGUCUUUACAUUUAUGAUUUUUGGACGCCAGAAGUUAGCUGUUCUUUUCCUGAUUUCAAUAAACUUGGUCCCAUUUUCAUAUAGAAAAUGAAGAUAAAUCUUCAAUGUUAGAGCAUGGAUCUAAGUUUUAUAAAAUAAACACUUCGUAACAAAAAUAAAGUUUGAUAUUAUACUUAUCAAAAUAAUUUUAAUUUUAUUAUACUAUUAAUAUAUUUGAAAUACUUUCUAAUAAAAAUCAGGGGAUUAAGAUGAUUUUUCUCAAGUUAGCAGGCAAUUAGUAUAUUACGGCUAAUUUUGUGGGAUUCUAAUAAUCAUAUAUGACUAUUGACUACUUAAAAAUACAGAAAGACCCCAAAAAAGCAAACUGUAACAACAAAAAACCAUCAAAUCUCAUGAGAAAACCAAGAAGCUUUAUUACAACUAUUCUCACAAUCUGCAAUCCCAUACCCAAAGUCCAAGAAGUAAAAAGACAACAAUACCAAUGUCCUAAACCGACCGUGGUCUUCGCACGUGUGCUUCAGUUCCCCAAGAAAUGAAGUGACUUUUAAAUUUAAUGAUACUCGAAAGAAGUAAGAAAAAGAAACAGUAAAACAAAGAAUGAAAGUUGGUAGUGAGUAGGUUCUUACAGUUACAGUAAUAUAUUCAGAAGAUUCAGUCUUUAUUACAUCUCACUCCACAUGUUUUUUCUAUAACUAGUUCCCUCUCUCUCUUUCAAAUUUCAAUUCCAUUUCUUGCUCACAUUGUCCUUUUUCUUAUGAAAAUUUCAACAACUUGCCAUUAUUUUCACUAACUUUCUACAUUGAAAUUCUGCUUAAUAUCUGGUCAACUUGCUCUGUUACUUUGUUCUAAAGAUAUUCCUUGGAGGUUUUCUAAUCCUUAAUUUGGUUUUGGUUUUAGCCACUGAUUGUACUGAAGAUCUGAAACUUCCAAGAAAUACCAUUUAUGUCCAUUAUCAAGUUUGAUUUCUUAAUUUAUCCAAUUUGUCUUAAAUUCAAA
Molecule: RNA transcript, 3723 nt
Organism: Mercurialis annua (annual mercury)
Lineage: Eukaryota; Viridiplantae; Streptophyta; Magnoliopsida; Malpighiales; Euphorbiaceae
Exons: 13
Source: RefSeq, a predicted model, not a curated record